AUACGGAGGGUCCAAGCGUUAUCCGAAAUCAUUGGGUUUAAAGGGUCCGCAGGCGGUCAAUUAAGUCAGAGGUGAAAGCCCAUCGCUCAACGAUGGAACUGCCUUUGAUACUGGUUGACUUGAGUUAUACGGAAGUAGAUAGAAUAAGUAGUGUAGCGGUGAAAUGCAUAGAUAUUACUUAGAAUACCGAUUGCGAAGGCAGUCUACUACGUAUAUUCUGACGCUGAGGGACGAAAGCGUGGGGAGCGAACAGGAUUAGAUACCCGAGUAGUCC
This 274-nucleotide ribosomal RNA is filed under the name uncultured bacterium. RNAcentral's name for it is "partial 16S ribosomal RNA". It matches the Rfam family "Bacterial small subunit ribosomal RNA", at positions 523 to 796 of the family's 1533-position model. The record is from RNAcentral.